RNAcentral lists this ribosomal RNA (427 nucleotides) under uncultured bacterium. RNAcentral describes it as "bacterial SSU rRNA". It matches the Rfam family "Bacterial small subunit ribosomal RNA", at positions 29 to 454 of the family's 1533-position model. The record is from RNAcentral.
AGUGAACGCUGGCGGCAGGCCUAACACAUGCAAGUCGAACGGCAGCACGGCAGUAGCAAUACUGUGGGUGGCGAGUGGCGGACGGGUGAGGAAUACAUCGGGAUCUACCCUGUUGUGGGGGAUAACGUAGGGAAACUUACGCUAAUACCGCAUAAGAACUGAGGUUGAAAGCGGCGGACCGCAAGGCGUCGCGCGAUUGGAUGAACCGAUGUCCGAUUAGCUAGUUGGCGGGGUAAAGGCCCACCAAGGCGACGAUCGGUAGCUGGUCUGAGAGGACGACCAGCCACACUGGAACUGAGACACGGUCCAGACUCCUACGGGAGGCAGCAGUGGGGAAUAUUGGACAAUGGGCGCAAGCCUGAUCCAGCCAUGCCGCGUGGGUGAAGAAGGCCUUCGGUUGUAAGACCUUUGUUCCGGAAGAAAGACA